CUUUAAAAACGGGGUGCAAUCAGAGUAUGUCCACACGAGGGCGCUAUAGGAUAAGAAAUGACAACGCCAUAGCAGCUUUACUGAUAAAAUGAACACCAAAUAUUAUUACAAGCUAUGGCCGCAUGAAGGGGCUGCAGGAUAAAUACCGGCGGCACCGGAACCGCUUAAAUAAUGAAACAGGCUUCAGGAGCGGUAUACAUAUUCGCAUGCAUGUGUAAAUUAUCCACUUCUGCUGGGAGGCUGUUCCAUUUAUCUACCACUCAAGGAGUGAGGUAAAACUUUCUUAAAUUGCAUUUAAACCUCUAACCUAACUAUAAAUGUAUAGUUCAAUUAAGGAGCCUGCCCUGUAUGUUGUAUACUUUAAUAGGAGUCAGCCCUGUGAGAUAUACAUAAGUAAUCAGAAGCCUGCAGAGUUUUUUUUUCUUCUUCCUUUGGAAUUAAUUUAAUAUGCAUUCUCGUACCCAAAGUAGUUUGCCAGAGAGGGAAGUGUUAAUGUGUGUAACCAUUGCAUUGUGUAUUAUUUCUGUGUUCUCAGCCUUUGUCAUUGUGGGGACUCCCUGAUCCAGACACCGUCCUAGACCAUUGGAGACAGAUCUGUUAUCGCUCCUCAUCGCGUGCGUUGCUGCGUAACUAGAAAAUUCCUGGUUAAACUGAGCAGCCUUUUUCAUCGCGUGGUCUCCCUGAGCCAGACACCGUGCUAGACCUUUGAAGACAAAACUGUUAUGGCUCCUGAUCGCGUGCAUUGCUGUGAUUUUUAUCCCGAACCAGUUCCUGCACCUACCAGACCCUUUUCCUCCUAUGUUGACACUGCAUGGACUGCGAUUG
This is a long non-coding RNA of Spea bombifrons (plains spadefoot toad), 825 nucleotides long. RefSeq lists it as uncharacterized. The record is from RefSeq and is a predicted model, not a curated record. Lineage: Eukaryota; Metazoa; Chordata; Amphibia; Anura; Pelobatidae. The transcript has 3 exons.